RNAcentral lists this ribosomal RNA (492 nucleotides) under uncultured bacterium. Its description in RNAcentral is "bacterial SSU rRNA". It matches the Rfam family "Bacterial small subunit ribosomal RNA", at positions 28 to 507 of the family's 1533-position model. The record is from RNAcentral.
GAUGAACGCUAGCUACAGGCUUAACACAUGCAAGUCGCGGGGUAACAUCUGGUAGAGCUUGCUCUUCCAGGAUGACGACCGGCGCACGGGUGAGUAACGCGUAUCCAACCUGGCCCAUACCACGGGAUAGCCCGUCGAAAGGCGGAUUAAUACCGUAUGCUGUCAUUAAGAUGCAUAUAUUGAUGACGAAAGGACUGGCGGUAUGGGAUGGGGAUGCGUCUGAUUAGCUUGUUGGCGGGGUAACGGCCCACCAAGGCGACGAUCAGUAGGGGUUCUGAGAGGAAGGUCCCCCACAUUGGAACUGAGACACGGUCCAAACUCCUACGGGAGGCAGCAGUGAGGAAUAUUGGUCAAUGGGCGUAAGCCUGAACCAGCCAAGUAGCGUGAGGGAAGACUGCCCUACGGGUUGUAAAACCUCUUUUGUUUGGGAAUAAAGUGCGGGACGCGUCCCGCAUUGCAUGUACCAUUUGAAUAAGACCGGCUAAUUCCGUG